This 468-nucleotide ribosomal RNA is filed under the name uncultured bacterium. Its description in RNAcentral is "partial 16S ribosomal RNA". It matches the Rfam family "Bacterial small subunit ribosomal RNA", at positions 28 to 507 of the family's 1533-position model. The record is from RNAcentral.
GACGAACGCUGGCGGCGUGCUUAACACAUGCAAGUCGAACGGAAAGGCCCUGCUUUUGUGGGGUGCUCGAGUGGCGAACGGGUGAGUAACACGUGAGUAACCUGCCCUUGACUUUGGGAUAACUUCAGGAAACUGGGGCUAAUAUCGGAUAGGAGCUCCUGCUGCAUGGUGGGGGUUGGAAAGUUUCGGCGGUUGGGGAUGGACUCGAGGCUUAUCAGCUUGUUGGUGGGGUAGUGGCUUACCAAGGCUUUGAAGGGUAGCCGGCCUGAGAGGGUGACCGGCCACAUUGCGACUGAGAUACGGCCCAGAAUCCUACGGGAGGCAGCAGUGGGGAAUAUUGCGCAAUGGGCGGAAGCCUGAUGCAGCAACGCCGCGUGCGGGAUGACGGCCUUCGGGUUGUAAACCGCUUUCGCCUGUGACGAAGCGUGAGUGACGGUAAUGGGUAAAGAAGCACCGGCUAACUACGUG